AGCGAACGCUGGCGGUAGGCCUAACACAUGCAAGUCGAACGGCAGCACAGUAAGAGCUUGCUCUUACGGGUGGCGAGUGGCGGACGGGUGAGGAAUACAUCGGAAUCUACUCUUUCGUGGGGGAUAACGUAGGGAAACUUACGCUAAUAUCGCAUACGACCUACGGGUGAAAGCAGGGGAUAUUCGGACCUUGCGCGAUUGAAUGAGCCGAUGUCGGACUAGUUAGUUGGCGGGGUAAAGGCCCAGCAAGGGGACGAUCCGUAGCUAGUCUGAGAGGAUGGUCGGCCACACGGGAACUGGGACACGGUCCAGAGUCCUACGGGAGGCAGCAGUGGGGAAUAUUAGACAAUGGGCGCAAGCCUGAUCCAGCCAUACCGCGUGGGUGAAGAAGGCCUUCGGGUUGUAAAGCCCUUUUGUUGGGAAAGAAAAGCAGCAGGUUAAUACCCCGCUGUUCUGACGGUACCCAAAGAAUAAGCACCGGCUAACUUCGUG
RNAcentral lists this ribosomal RNA (492 nucleotides) under uncultured bacterium. Its description in RNAcentral is "partial 16S ribosomal RNA". It matches the Rfam family "Bacterial small subunit ribosomal RNA", at positions 29 to 507 of the family's 1533-position model. The record is from RNAcentral.